UGGUUUUGUGUAAAAUGUUUAUGAGCUGGUAAAUAGCCUCGUCCGAACCAUCCUGAUCUCGCGAGUUUACAUGCACUGUUUCGUUAAUGUAAGCUCGCGAGAUCUGGAUGGUUCGGACGAGGCUCGUCAAAUGGCGGCUUCAACGGUUUUGGUCGUCUUCCUAGGAGUUUGCUCGUGGGGAAAUGGCGACAUGAGGCUGUGUGAUGGAGUGUCAAAAUAGAGAGAAGCUAGCUGAAGUUAUCCUUCACCAUUUGGAGAGAGAGGCCAACUGCAUGGAAUGGCGUCGAUUAAUGCGGAUGAAUCGGAGCACGUAUCAAACUCUAUCCAUGGAGGACCAAGUGUCUGCGGGUUUUCGCUCCACCCUUGUACUUGAUUAAUGAAUUAAGGUCACUAAUUAGUGAGGAACUCACCUCAACUGAUUGUCUAUGUUUUAAUUGAAAGGAAAAAAAUAAAACCCGCUGAGACUCGGUCCUCAAUGGAAUGAGUUAGACACCCCUGAAACAAUUGAAAUGGAGAGAGAGUUUGAGAAGCAACAGCUGUGCUGGAAUGCGAUCAAUGUGGGGGACAGUUCUGAUGAUAUGGAGCCGGAGGAUGAGGGCCUAGUAUUUGAAUGGUCUGUAGUGGAAAGACAUAGGAAGAACAGAGAUAAUGAUACUGGAAGCAGUGGCGCAUGUAGUAUAGAAACUCCAGAGGUCCAAGGCCGACUCAGAUUAAGAGGCCGUUAACAUCAACAGUGAGGACAAACCCAGCCUGCUUCUCUCCUUCCACACUGAGUCCAAACCUACAGUCACUGGGUCCUGAUUGUGACAGAGGAGCCCAGUUUGCACUGCAGGAUCCAGAGAUGGCAUCAGUGAAGCUGGAAGACUGCAGUCAAACACUGGAGCUGAAUGUCAUCAUUAAAGAUGAAGAAGAGGAGGAGGAGAUUGGUACAUCUGUUAGUCAUGGGGACCAUGUUGAGACAUUCUCUACAUCCAGAGAGCAACAGCAGGAAGGUCACAGAGCUAAGAGGUCUCACCACUGCCCACAUUGUGAGGAGAUUUUCCCAAUUCUAUCAAAGCUAAAGAUACAUCUAAAAAUACACACAGGAGAGAAGCCUUACUCCUGCUCUGACUGUGGGGGGAGAUUCUCCCGAUUGGAUACCUUAAAAUGUCACCACCGAAUACAUACAGGAGAGAAGCCUUACUCCUGCUUUGACUGUGGUAAAUGCUUUAAAACAUCAACUGAGCUAAAAUCUCAUCAGCGAAGACACACAGGAGAGAAGCCUUACUCCUGCUCUGACUGUGGGGAGAGUUUCUCCAGAUUGGAUACCUUAAAAUGUCACCAACAAAUGCAUACAGGAGUGAAGCCUUACUCCUGCUCUGAAUGUGGAAAGAGUUUCUCUCAACAGGGUAACUUAAAAACACACCAACGUAUACAUAAAGGAGAGAAGCCUUACUCCUGCUCUGACUGUGGGAAAGGCUUUAAAACAUCAACUGAGCUAAAAUCUCACCAGAGAACUCACACAGGAGAGAAGCCUCACUACUGCUCUGACUGUGGGGCGAGUUUCUCUCAAUUGAGCAAUUUAAGAAGACACCAACGUAUACAUAAAGGAGAGAAGCCUUACCAUUGCUCUGACUGUGGGACAAGUUUCUCUCAAUUGAGCAACUUAAAAACGCACCAACGCAUACAUAAAGGAGAGAAGUUCUCUCAGACCAGCUAAGAUUAAAGUCACUCUAUCACUUAAUUCUCAUUUGAUAGAAGAAGUGGUAACAGUGAAUUGGAUCAAAUGAAGAAAGCGUAGAACACUGUAAUCUUAUUGUUUCUCAAUGUGAUAGAACUGUACAGAGGAAAAGGAUUGUUAUAGAAUGUUAGCCUCUCUUUACUUUACUGAUCAGUGUGCACCUUGUCAGUUUUGGUGUGUUUUGUUAGAUUCUACUGUAAACAUGUUGAGAUUACCUGGAUUUUCCCUUAGCGUUGAAAACCCUCUGAGGGAUCACUUGUUAAAACAAUGCAGUGUGGUGGUUGACUGGGUGAUACGGCUUCCUUCUGCAGUUUUCUGUCGGAUUGAGUUAGUAGACACAACAUGUAUCAGAUAGAGAUGGGGUGAUGAUCAGUUUUCACCACUAGUUUGGGUAUAUUAUUUUUGCUAUUAAUCAACUUUGUUUGAAACAUCGACACUGAAAAAAAAAAAUAUAUAUAUAUAUAAAUGCAACAUGUUUUUAGUUUUUAUUUCACCUUUAUUUAACCAGGUAGGCUAGUUGAGAACAAGUUCUCAUUUGCAACUGCGACCUGGCAGACCUGGCAACAUGUGAAGUGUUGGUCCCAUGUUUCAAGACCAGAAAUGUUCCUUAUGCACAAAAAGGGUAUUUCUCUCAAAUUCUGUGCUCAAAAUUGUUUCCAUCCCUGUUAGUUAGCAUUUUUUCUUUGCCAAUAUAAUCCAUCCAUCUGACAGAUGUGGCAUAUCAAGAAGCUGAUUAAACAACAUGAUCAUUACGCAGGUGAACCUUGUGCUGGGAACAAUACAAGGACAGUCUAAAAUGUGCAGUUUUGUCACACAACCCAAUGCCACAGAUGUCUCAUGUUUUAAGGGAAUGUGCAAUUGGCAUGCUGACUGUAGGAAUACCCACCAGAGCUGUUGACAGAUAAUUGAAUGUUAAUUUCCCUACAAUAAGCUGCCUCCAACAUUGUUUUAGAGAAUUUGGCAGUACCUCCGACCGGCCUCAACCGCAAACCAUGUGUAUGGUGUUGUGUGGGCGAGCGUUUUGCUGAUGUGAAUGUUGUGAACAGAGUGCCCCAUGGUGGCAGUGAGGUUACGGUAUUGUUAGGCAUAAACUACGGACAACAAACACAAUUUUUGUGCCAUUCAUCCGCCGCCAUCACCUCAUGUUUCAGCAUGAUAUAAUACAGCUUUGUGAGGCUCAUUUGAACUUGUUGAAUUUCUGGGAUCUUUUAUUUCAACUUCAUGAAACAUUGGACCAACACUUUACUUUGCGUUUAUAUUUUGUAGAUUUGUUAUUUUAGUCAUUGAUAAUUAAUGUAUUUGGAUAACUGUAGUGAACUUAAUGGGUCUACUAAUGAAAAAUAAAUGUUCUACAUUAA
Non-coding RNA from Oncorhynchus mykiss (rainbow trout), 3078 nucleotides. The record is from RefSeq and is a predicted model, not a curated record. NCBI's taxonomy places the organism in Eukaryota, Metazoa, Chordata, Actinopteri, Salmoniformes, Salmonidae.